UACAGAGGGGGCAAGCGUUAUUCGGAAUUAUUGGGCGUAAAGGGCGCGUAGGCGGCUUGGCAAGUGGAAGGUGAAAUCCCUCGGCUUAACCGAGGAACUGCCCUCCAAACUGCUUCGCUUGAGACCGGGAGAGGUGAGUGGAAUUCCCAGUGUAGCGGUGAAAUGCGUAGAUAUUGGGAGGAACACCAGUGGCGAAGGCGGCUCACUGGACCGGUACUGACGCUGAUGCGCGAAAGCGUGGGGAACAAACGGG
RNAcentral lists this ribosomal RNA (253 nucleotides) under uncultured bacterium. Its description in RNAcentral is "partial 16S ribosomal RNA". It matches the Rfam family "Bacterial small subunit ribosomal RNA", at positions 524 to 776 of the family's 1533-position model. The record is from RNAcentral.